AAUGACAUAAAUGAGAAAUUUACUGUCAUCGUGAUGCGUGAAAUUCGUAACAUUGUAAUAAGAUGGACAUUGUAGCAAAUGUCUCAAACCGAAAAGAAUGUACCAAACCCCGCUGGGUAUGAAUAUUAACUAUGAAUAUCCAUUCACAACCUACAGCUUAAAUCCAACACGUUUAACUCAAGACUCUGAGAAAGAAAAGCUUCACGAGUGAAGCUCUGUGAAGACCGGAUAAACAAGUCAAACUCAAAAAUUACGGGAUGCGAUACUUUAUGAACAUGCAUGAAAACGGAAAUUGCCACUUGAGUGGACAAAUAUCAGUGUAACACUGAAAAUUUUAAAAUUUAUUUUUCACAAUUUAUAAAAAACAUUUCUCUCUUAAUUUCAUAAAACAUCAAAUUUCAAAUUCCAAAAUGUAUCAUACAAAUCCCAAGAUCACAUAAUUAUAUCGAAUUCCUCUAUGUGUGUACAGAUCAAGCCGGCGCCUUCCCACGGUCAUCGCUAGUACCUGAAACAACAACACUAACACUGUAAGCACAAAGCUUAGUGAGUUCCCCAAAAUACCACACAUAAAACACAUAUUAGCCACUCGAGGCCAUAACUCUAUGGGUCCGUGCACCCAACUCUGUGAACCCUCAGGUUCUAACUCUAGGAAUCUUCCAGUUCCAACUCUAUAAGCAUGCACAACAUAAAUCACAUAGACAUCAUGUAGUACAACACAUAGCAUACACAUAACAUACACAUACUCUAUCACAUGACUCUGGUUACCUACUCAAGGUAAAGUAUAGUGAGAAGACUCACCUCGCGUGUCUCAGUAUCUCACGAUCUCUGGAAAUCCCCCGUACUCGAUCCUCCGAGCUCUACUCCUCCUAUAACAUCACAAGACUCUAAUUAACACUUUUAUCUCUAAGGUUGACUAUCCCUAAGAAGUCAACACAGGUCAACGGUCAACGGUCAACUUUGACCGGACUCGGCGAGUGCCCGCGGCAACUCGGCGAGUCUAGACGUUCUCACCAACUCUCUAGGAUUCCCUUUCUACACGUCGAGUACUCCCCCUGACUCGACGAGUUCCACCUGGAAGAAUCGCGGGACCACCCCGACUCAACUCGCCGAGUCUCAAGAACGACUCGGCGAGUCCCAGCUCGACUCAGACCACAUGACAAUCCUCUCUAACUCGCCCUGACUCACUGGGUCAACUCCUGACUCGUCUGGACCACUCUCUGGCCGGUCCAAGGCAAUCUUCAAGCUACUCGCCGAGUCUGCUCAUCGGACUCGGCGAGUCCAUUCCAUGCAAUCACUCAAACUUGCUUCUAAGGUCAGAUCUACUCCAACAAUUCAUAGAUCUGGCCCUCCUAGACUGAUUCAUCACGUAAAGUCCUAGCCUUGAUGCAUUAACAACCUCUAUAUGACCAAUUAUGAAGAAUCUUCAACAAAUCUCACUACACAAGGUCAUGACCUCCAUUGUUCUCUAUAAAGCUUGAAGAAUGAGACUCUCUGGACCUCUAUGGAUCCAGAUCCGAAGUCUCAUCACUAGCAUGGGACUAUUUGGCCAUCAAAUCAACUCAACAAGGCCACAAGAAACCCUAAAAUCGGUUAUACUUCACAAAACAGGAGAUGAGUCGAAAUUAUACCUUUAGAUUGAAGGGUCAAGCUUCCAAUCCACCAAAUAGCAGUCCCCUUUGCCUCCUCUUGGCUAGAGCCUCCUUCUUCUUUGCUAAACAACACACAAAUGUCAAGAAAUGCCUCCUUUCACUCUCAAAUCGCUAAAGCACUUUUAGGGUUUCUCUCUAUGGACUGAUGGAUGCAAAUGACGGCCAUAAGGCCAUUUAAAUAGGUCCCAAACCCGAGAAAUUAGGGUUUCAUUAAACAGCGUGGACUCGCCGAGUCCAUAUCCUGGACUCGCCGAGUCCGAACGAAUCCCGCGUCCAGAAUCGCGACCCUACUCGGCGAGUCUGAGCUCCAACUCGCCGAGUCCCUUCUCAAAACUCAAAAUAUUAAAACAAUAAAAUACCUGGAGAUCCGGGCUGUUACAAUUCUCCCCCACUAGGAUUAGACUUCGCCCUCGAAGUCUCGCUCUAAAAUAGCUCCGGAUGCUGAGCCCGCAUCUCGCGCUCCGGCUCCCAGGUCAUCUCUGAUCCCUUCCGGUGUUGCCACUGAACCAACACCAAAGGUACCUCCUUGUUCCUCAGAACCUUGAUCUUCCGAUCUCUGAUGGCUACUGGUCUCUCGGCAUAAUUCAGGCUCGCAUCCACCUGAAUAUCCUCUAAUGGAACUACUGCCGACUCAUCGGCAAUACAUUUCCUCAAUUGCGACACAUGAAAAGUGUCGUGGAUUUGCCCCAACUCUGCUGGCAAUUCCAAACGAUAGGCUACCCGGCCUACCCUCGCAAUCACACGAAAUGGCCCAAUAUACCGGGGCCCCAACUUGCCCCUCUUCCUGAAUCGAAUCACUCCUUUCCAAGGAGAGACCUUCAGGAGAACGAAGUCGCCGACCUGAAACUCAAGCUCGGACCGGCGUCUGUCUGCAUAACUCUUCUGUCGACUCUGGGCGGUCAACAACCUCUGUCUGACCUGCUGAAUCUGCUCUGUCGUCUGAAGCACGAUCUCGGUACUGCCCAUCACUCUCUGCCCGACCUCUCCCCAGCAAAUGGGGGUCCGACACCUCCUACCAUACAACAGCUCAAAGGGUGGCAUACCAAUGCUCGAAUGAUGGCUGUUGUUGUAGGAAAACUCUGCCAAGGGUAGAUACGCAUCCCAGCUACCCCCAAAAUCCAACACACAUGCUCGAAGCAUGUCCUCAAGCGUCUGAAUCGUCCGCUCACUCUGACCGUCUGUCUGGGGAUGAUAUGCGGUACUAAAAUGCAAUCUAGUACCCAACUCCUCAUGAAAUUUCUUCCAGAAUCUGGAAGUAAAGCGCACAUCACGGUCUGAAACAAUCGAGAUCGGCACCCCAUGCCGAGAUACCACUUCUCUCACAUAUAACUCUGCCAACUUCUCUGCUGAAGAACUCUCACUGAUGGCAAGGAAGUGAGCGCUCUUCGUCAACCUAUCCACAAUCACCCAAAUUGCAUCAACUCCCCUGGCAGUUCUCGGCAAUUUGGUGAUGAAAUCCAUAGUGAUCUGUUCCCAUUUCCAUUCGGGAACCUCCAAUGGCUGCAACUUGCCAUGUGGUCUCUGGUGCUCGGCCUUAACCCUACGACAGGUCAAGCACCUCUCAACGAACCAUGCGACGUCCCUCUUCAUACAGGGCCACCAAUACUCUCUCCUCAAAUCCAAAUACAUCUUCGUAGCCCCCGGAUGGAUCGAAAAUUUCGACCGAUGAGCCUCCUCCAUCAAGGAAGUGCGCGUACCACCCACGAACGGUACCCAAAUCCGACCCUGAAAAGUCAUAAGCCCUCGCCCAUCCGUAACGAAUUCUGAAACCAAACCAACGACCCGUUCCCUCUUCUGCAUCUCCGGCUGCACAGCCUCGGCCUGUGCCCCACGAAUGGCAUCCAAUACCGGAGCUAUCAUGGUCAAUCUCAAACAUACAUCUCGCAAUGGAGUGCUCUCCGCCCUGCGGCUCAACGCAUCGGCCACCACGUUGGCCUUGCCCGGGUGGUACAGGAUCUCACAAUCAUAAUCCUUGACCACAUCUAACCACCUCCUCUGACGCAUGUUUAGAUUGGGCUGAUCCAUCAAGUACUUCAAGCUCUUAUGGUCCGUGUAUAUCGUACAUCGAACCCCAUAUAAGUAGUGGCGCCAAAUCUUGAGGGCGAACACUACUGCCCCCAACUCUAGAUCAUGCGUGGGAUAUCUCGUCUCAUGAGGCUUCAGCUGCCUCGAUGCAUAUGCUAUCACAUGACCCCUCUGCAUCAACACCGCACCCAACCCCAAAAUCGAUGCAUCACAAUAUACUACAAAAUCCUCCAUCCCUUCCGGGAGAGCUAAUACCGGGGCUUCGCACAACCUCUGGCGAAGUGUCUCAAAGGAGGUCUGCUGCUCGGGACCCCAUGAGAAUGCAACACCCUUCCGGGUCAACCUGGUGAGCGGCACUGCGAUCUUGGAGAAAUCCUUGAUAAAUCUCCGAUAAUACCCUGCUAAUCCAAGGAAGCUCCUGAUCUCAGAGGGUGACUUUGGCACCUCCCAACCCAUCACCGCCUCAACCUUGGCCGGAUCGACCAGAAUCCCUUCCUGGUUAACGAGAUGUCCUAGGAACUGGACCUCCCGUAACCAGAAAUCACACUUGGAGAACUUUGCAUAAAGCUUCUCCGAUCUCAGUACCCCAAGGACCUCCCUCAAAUGUUCCUCAUGCUGCUCCCUAGAUCUCGAAUACACCAGAAUAUCAUCGAUAAAUACAAUCACCGACCGAUCCAACAUCGGCCUACAUACCCUGUUCAUGAGAUCCAUGAACACCGCCGGGGCAUUGGUGAGCCCAAAAGGCAUCACCACAAACUCAUAAUGCCCAUAACGCGUCCUGAAAGCUGUCUUCUGGACGUCCCCGUCUCGCACCCUCACCUGAUGAUAUCCCGACCUCAAAUCGAUCUUGGAAAACCAAGAUGCUCCCUGCAACUGAUCAAAUAAAUCGUCGAUCCUCGGCAACGGGUAACGGUUCUUGACCGUCAGCUUGUUCAACUCCCGGUAAUCAAUACACAUCCGGUGUGAACCAUCCUUCUUCUUGACAAACAGAAUAGGUGCUCCCCACGGCGAGCUGCUCGGCCGAAUAAAUCCCUUCCCCAGCAACUCCUGAAGCUGCGAGGAUAACUCUUGCAUCUCUGGAGGUGCAAGACGAUAAGGCACCUUAGCUAUAGGCGCAGCCCCCGGAACCAAAUCAAUACCAAACUCUACUUGCCUCACAGGAGGUACUCCCGGCAGCUCCUCGGGAAAGACAUCUGGAAACUCACAUACCACCGGUACCUCCCCAACUGAACUCGGUCUCUCGGAAGUCGCUCGCGUAUCCAUCACAUACGCCACAAAACCCUUACAGCCCUGCUGUAGACACUGCCUCGCCCUGGCGGCCGAACAAAAGGCUGAUCCCGAACGUGUACCCUCACCGUACACCGAAAGAACUCCCCCACUAGGGUCUCGUAUAGUCACCAGCUGACGCUCACAGUCGAUAAUCGCGCCGAAUCGGCUCAACCAGUCCAUGCCCACAAUGACACAAACAUCGCCCAUCGCAAUAGGAAUCAGAUCAAUCGGAAACUCAAUCCCGAAGAUCUCUAACACACAUCCCCGGAAAACCUCUGUGGCACAAAUCACUCUAUCAUCAGCUAUGGAGACUCUCAGAGGCCGACUCAGUGCCUCACGACUAGCACUGAUAUGCUGGCUAAAGGCCAAAGAUACAAAAGACCGACUCGCACCCGAGUCAAAUAACACUAAAGCAGGUACGGAAUUCACAAGAAAAGUACCUACACAUAACAUAAUAUAAGCAUAACAUCAUAUGUCAAAAUAAAUACACGAAAGGAAACAUACCAGCCACAACAUCGGGCGCAGCGCGGACCUCCUCCGCAGUCAGCUGGAAGGCUCUCCCUCGAGCUCUCGGCGUCUCGGCCUUCACAGGCCGACUCUCUGUAACUCUGGUGGCGGCAGGAGCAGACCCCUGAGAUGCUCCGCGCAACUGCGGACACUCGGCCUUCCGGUGUCCGGUCUGGUUGCAGUGAAAGCACACUGCAAACCCCUUGGGGCAGUCCUUGGCCAUGUGCCCCUCCUUGCCACAUUUGUAGCAAGACCCUGCUCGGCAGACUCCGUCAUGACCCUUGCCGCACUUUCCGCAAGUGCGGCCCUUCUGGCUCCCUGGUCUGGGAUCAGCAGGCUUGGCCCGCUUGGCGGCCGGCUGCGACAACGCCGGUCGCCGAUCCCUCCCCUGAGACUCUGCCUCCUCCCUGGCCUGGGUCUCAAGCUCAAUCUCCCUCUUCCGGGCAUUUGCCUGAAGCUCGGCAAAUGUCCGGUACGAGGAGUUCGCAGCGAACUCCCGAAUAUCCCUCCUCAAGAUGCUCAAGUAGCGGCUCAUACGUGCCUGCUCAGUGGACACGUGCUCAGGGCAGAACAUCGCCCUCUCGUGGAACAUCCUCGUGAUCGCUGUAACAGACUCAGUACCCUGCUUGAGGGUCAGAAACUCCUGUGCUAAACGCUCCCUCUCCACCUGGGGAACGUACUCAUCCCGAAACAUAGUGGUGAACCUCUCCCAGGUCACCGCAGAAAGCUCAGCAGGCGAAUAAUGCGCUGUCACAAACUUCCACCAGUCCUUCGCUCCCAAGCGAAGCUGGUUCAGCGCGAACCGUACCUUCAAAUGCUCAGGAGACGAGCAAGUGAAGAAACACCCCUCAAUAUCAGAUAUCCACCUCAUAGCUGCCACCGGAUCCUGAGUACCAUCAAACUCUGGUGGUUUUGUGUUGCUGAACUCACGGAACAGCAACGCAUCCCCACCCUGCGGCCUCGCAGCAGCAAUCGCUGCGGUAGCCGCUGCAGCAGCAGCCUCAGAAAGAGCGGCAUAACGCUCAUCAAACGUCUCAAUCAAGGUGGUCUUUAUAGACCCAAACAUCUCCGGUAUCUCUGCCCUGAUGGCCGCAGCCACCUCCUCCUGAAUGAUCCGGCGGAUCUCCUCCUCACUGGUACCACUGCUCUCGGGCAUCAAACGUGUCCUCACCAUGAUCUACCUCUGAAAUACAACAUACGAUAAAUUAGAAUCCACACGAGUAUGCUCACACUCGACAACUCUUUUCUCCUUGAUUCUUGGCAUUCCAAAGAUUCUGACUUAGGCUGCACACUGCUCCGGUGCUUCCAGUAGUACGGGCCCAAUACUACUGUCCGCACCGCACCAGAAUACACUCCAAGUCCUUCUCUUUGGAUCCCAGGUCUCAAGUACUUUAUCAUGCAUAGACUACUCUCUAAUAGAUUUCUCAUAAGUCCCUUGCUGCUACCUACUCACUCUCAAGCAUCUCAUAGCAGCUCACCUCUCUCUAGGCUAAGGCAUCACACAUCAGGCCACUCUAGUCCUAAUAGCAAUACCUAGCCUACUCUAGCAUGCGGAUACAUCAUAUCAAUAUCAAUAUCACAUAAUAUAUAAAGGUAUUUUGGGAAAUCACCGUUCGGGCGCUGACUGAUCGUACACACAUCUCUUGCUCUGCGUUUUUCGAAAAUCUUUUACUCUUUUUGAAAAUACAUCUCAAAUCCUCAGUUUGAGUUCAAAUACGCCCGAAGGUGUACUCGAAUCCCUCAAACCAAGGCUCUGAUACCAACUUGUAACACUGAAAAUUUUAAAAUUUAUUUUUCACAAUUUAUAAAAGCAUUUCUCUCUUAAUUUCAUAAAACAUCAAAUUUCAAAUUCCAAUAUGUAUCAUACAAAUCCCAAGAUCACAUAAUUAUAUCGAAUUCCUCUACGUGUGUACAGAUCAAGCCGGCGCCUUCCCACGGUCAUCGCUAGUACCUGAAACAACAACACUAACACUGUAAGCACAAAGCUUAGUGAGUUCCCCAAAAUACCACACAUAAAACACAUAUUAGCCACUCGAGGCCAUAACUCUAUGGGUCCGUGCACCCAACUCUGUGAACCCUCAGGUUCUAACUCUAGGAACCUUCCGGUUCCAACUCUAUAAGCAUGCACAACAUAAAUCACAUAGACAUCAUGUAGUACAACACAUAGCAUACACAUAACAUACACAUACUCUAUCACAUGACUCUGGUUACCUACUCAAGGUAAAGUAUAGUGAGAAGACUCACCUCGCGUGUCUCAGUAUCUCACGAUCCCUGGAAAUCCCUCGUACUCGAUCCUCCGAGCUCUAAUCCUCCUAUAACAUCACAAGACUCUAAUUAACACUUUUAUCUCUAAGGUUGACUAUCCCUAAGAAGUCAACACAGGUCAACGGUCAACGGUCAACGGUCAACUUUGACCGGACUCGGCGAGUGCACGCGGCAACUCGGCGAGUCUAGACGUUCUCACCAACUCUCUAGGAUUCCCUUUCUACACGUCGAGUACUCCCCCUGACUCGACGAGUUCCACCUGGAAGAAUCGCGGGACCACCCCGACUCAACUCGCCGAGUCUCAAGAACGACUCGGCGAGUCCCAGCUCGACUCAGACCACAUGACAAUCCUCUCUAACUCGCCCUGACUCACUGGGUCAACUCCUGACUCGUCUGGACCACUCUCUGGCCGGUCCAAGGCAAUCUUCAAGCUACUCGCCGAGUCUGCUCAUCGGACUCGGCGAGUCCAUUCCAUGCAAUCACUCAAACUUGCUUCUAAGGUCAGAUCUACUCCAACAAUUCAUAGAUCUGGCCCUCCUAGACUGAUUCAUCACGUAAAGUCCUAGCCUUGAUGCAUUAACAACCUCUAUAUGCCUAAUUAUGAAGAAUCUUCAACAAAUCUCACUACACAAGGUCAUGACCUCCAUUGUUCUCUAUAAAGCUUGAGGAAUGAGACUUUCUGGACCUCUAUGGAUCCAGAUCCGAAGUCUCAUCACUAGCAUGGGACUAUUUGGCCAUCAAAUCAACUCAACAAGGCCACAAGAAACCCUAAAAUCGGUUAUACUUCACAAAACAGGAGAUGAGUCGAAAUUAUACCUUUAGAUUGAAGGGUCAAGCUUCCAAUCCACCAAAUAGCAGCCCCCUUUGCCUCCUCUUGGCUAGAGCCUCCUUCUUCUUUGCUAAACAACACACAAAUGUCAAGAAAUGCCUCCUUUCACUCUCAAAUCGCUAAAGCACUUUUAGGGUUUCUCUCUAUGGACUGAUGGAUGCAAAUGACGGCCAUAAGGCCAUUUAAAUAGGUCCCAAACCCGAGAAAUUAGGGUUUCAUUAAACAGCGUGGACUCGCCGAGUCCAUAUUCUGGACUCGCCGAGUCCGAACGAAUCCCGCGUCCAGAAUCGCGACCCUACUCGGCGAGUCUGAGCUCCAACUCGCCGAGUCCCUUCUCAAAACUCAAAAUAUUAAAACAAUAAAAUACCUGG
This 8915-nucleotide long non-coding RNA is filed under the name Lactuca sativa (garden lettuce). RNAcentral's name for it is "long non-coding RNA (LSAT_LNC008883)". The record is from RNAcentral. Lineage: Eukaryota; Viridiplantae; Streptophyta; Magnoliopsida; Asterales; Asteraceae.